This 254-nucleotide ribosomal RNA is filed under the name uncultured bacterium. Its description in RNAcentral is "partial 16S ribosomal RNA". It matches the Rfam family "Bacterial small subunit ribosomal RNA", at positions 524 to 776 of the family's 1533-position model. The record is from RNAcentral.
UACGAAGGGGGGCUAGCGUUGCUCGGAAUUACUGGGGCGUAAAGCGCACGUAGGCGGCUUUCUAAGUCGGGGGUGAAAUCCUGGAGCUCAACUCCAGAACUGCCUUCGAUACUGGAGCUCGAGUCCGGGAGAGGUGAGUGGAACUGCGAGUGUAGAGGUGAAAUUCGUAGAUAUUCGUCAAGAACACCAGUGGCGAAGGCGGCUCACUGGCCCGGUACUGACGCUGAGGUGCGAAAGCGUGGGGAGCAAACAGG